This 389-nucleotide ribosomal RNA is filed under the name uncultured bacterium. RNAcentral's name for it is "bacterial SSU rRNA". It matches the Rfam family "Bacterial small subunit ribosomal RNA", at positions 335 to 715 of the family's 1533-position model. The record is from RNAcentral.
ACUCCUACGGGAGGCAGCAGUGGGGAAUAUUGCACAAUGGGGGAAACCCUGAUGCAGCCAUGCCGCGUGUGUGAAGAAGGCCUUCGGGUUGUAAAGCACUUUCAGUAGGGAGGAAGGUAGUGUAGUUAACACCUGCAUUAUUUGACGUUACCUACAGAAGAAGCACCGGCUAACUCCGUGCCAGCAGCCGCGGUAAUACGGAGGGUGCGAGCGUUAAUCGGAAUUACUGGGCGUAAAGCGCAUGCAGGCGGCCUGUUAAGUCAGAUGUGAAAGCCCGGGGCUUAACCUCGGAAUUGCAUUUGAAACUGGCAGGCUAGAGUCUUGUAGAGGGGGGUAGGAAUUUCAGGUGUAGCGGUGAAAUGCGUAGAGAUCUGAAGGAAUACCAGUGG